UACGGAGGGUGCAAGCGUUAUCCGGAUUCACUGGGUUUAAAGGGUGCGUAGGUGGGCAGGUAAGUCAGUGGUGAAAUCUCCGGGCUUAACUCGGAAACUGCCUUUGAUACUAUCUUUCUUGAAUACCGUGGAGGUCAGCGGAAUAUGUCAUGUAGCGGUGAAAUGCUUAGAUAUGACAUAGAACACCAAUUGCGAAGGCAGCUGGCUACACGAAUAUUGACACUGAUGCACGAAAGCGUGGGGAGCAAACAGG
This 253-nucleotide ribosomal RNA is filed under the name uncultured bacterium. RNAcentral's name for it is "partial 16S ribosomal RNA". It matches the Rfam family "Bacterial small subunit ribosomal RNA", at positions 524 to 776 of the family's 1533-position model. The record is from RNAcentral.